ACUCCUACGGGAGGCAGCAGUGGGGAAUAUUGCACAAUGGGGGAAACCCUGAUGCAGCCAUGCCGCGUGUGUGAAGAAGGCCUUCGGUUGUAAAGCACUUUCAGUAGGGAGGAAGGUAGUGUAGUUAACACCUNGCNAUUUANUUGACGUUACCUACAGAAGAAGCACCGGCUAACUCCGUGCCAGCAGCCGCGGUAAUACGGAGGGUGCGAGCGUUAAUCGGAAUUACUGGGGCGUAAAGCGCAUGCAGGCGGCCUGUUAAGUCAGAUGUGAAAGCCCGGGGGCUUAACCUCGGAAUUGCAUUUGAAACUGGUAGGCUAGAGUCUUGUAGAGGGGGUAGAAUUUCAGGUGUAGCGGUGAAAUGCGUAGAGAUCUGAAGGAAUACCAGUGGCGAAGGCGGCCCCCUGGACAAAGACUGACGCUCAGAUGCG
Molecule: ribosomal RNA, 431 nt
Filed under: uncultured bacterium
Lineage: Bacteria
Description: bacterial SSU rRNA
Rfam family: Bacterial small subunit ribosomal RNA
Source: RNAcentral